RNAcentral lists this ribosomal RNA (515 nucleotides) under uncultured bacterium. Its description in RNAcentral is "bacterial SSU rRNA". It matches the Rfam family "Bacterial small subunit ribosomal RNA", at positions 8 to 518 of the family's 1533-position model. The record is from RNAcentral.
AGGGUUCGAUUCUGGCUCAGGAUGAACGCUGGCGGCGUGCCUAAUACAUGCAAGUCGUACGGAGCGCUUCAGCUUGCUGGAGAGCUCAGUGGCGAACGGGUGAGUAAUACGUAAGUAACCUGCCUGCAAGGACUGGGAUAACACCUGGAAACGGGCGCUAAUACCGGAUAGGUAACAGAGGGGCAUCCCACUGUUAUUAAAGGUUAAAAACACAAGCAGAUGGGCUUACGGUGCAUUAGUUAGUUGGUGAGGUAACGGCCCACCAAGGCGAUGAUGCAUAGCCGGCCUGAGAGGGUGAACGGCCACAUUGGGACUGAGACACGGCCCAGACUCCUACGGGAGGCAGCAGUAGGGAAUUUUCGGCAAUGGGCGCAAGCCUGACCGAGCAACGCCGCGUGAGUGAAGAAGAAUUUCGGUUCGUAAAGCUCUGUUGUAAGGGAAGAAUAACACGGAGAGAAUCCGUGCAUGACGGUACCUUACCAGAAAGCCACGGCUAACUACGUGCCAGCCGCCGC